UGCCUGAUGGUGUAAUGGUAGCACAACUGGUUUUGGUCCAGUUUGUCUAGGUUCGAAUCCUGGUCAGGCAGCCA
Molecule: transfer RNA, 74 nt
Filed under: Puniceicoccales bacterium
Lineage: Bacteria; Pseudomonadati; Verrucomicrobiota; Opitutia; Puniceicoccales
Description: tRNA-Gln
Rfam family: tRNA
About the family: Transfer RNA (tRNA) molecules are approximately 80 nucleotides in length. Their secondary structure includes four short double-helical elements and three loops (D, anti-codon, and T loops).
Source: RNAcentral